This 421-nucleotide ribosomal RNA is filed under the name uncultured bacterium. RNAcentral's name for it is "partial 16S ribosomal RNA". It matches the Rfam family "Bacterial small subunit ribosomal RNA", at positions 360 to 773 of the family's 1533-position model. The record is from RNAcentral.
AAUAUUGGACAAUGGGGGCAACCCUGAUCCAGCCCUGCCCCGUGUGUGAAGGAGGUCUCCGGAUUGUAAGGCACCCUAGGCUGGGAGGAAGGGCUUUAGGCUAAUACCCUGAAGAUCUGACGUUCUCAACCGACUAACGACCGGCUACGUGUGGUCCAGCAGCCGCGGUAAUACAGAGGGUGCAAGCGUUAAUCGGAAUUACUGGGCGUAAAGCGCGCGUAGGUGGUUCAGUAAGAUGGGUGUGAAAUCCCCGGGCUUAACCUGGGAACUGCUUUCAUAACUGCUGAGCUAGAGUACGGUAGAGGGUAGUGGAAUUUCCUGUGUAGCGGUGAAAUGCGUAGAUAUAGGAAGGAACACCAGUGGCGAAGGCGACUACCUGGACUGAUACUGACACUGAGGUGCGAAAGCGUGGGGAGCAAAC